RNAcentral lists this ribosomal RNA (468 nucleotides) under uncultured bacterium. RNAcentral describes it as "partial 16S ribosomal RNA". It matches the Rfam family "Bacterial small subunit ribosomal RNA", at positions 28 to 507 of the family's 1533-position model. The record is from RNAcentral.
GACGAACGCUGGCGGCGUGCUUAACACAUGCAAGUCGAACGGAAAGGCCCUGCUUUUGUGGGGUGCUCGAGUGGCGAACGGGUGAGUAACACGUGAGUAACCUGCCCUUGACUUUGGGAUAACUUCAGGAAACUGGGGCUAAUACCGGAUAGGAGCUCCUGCUGCAUGGUGGGGGUUGGAAAGUUUCGGCGGUUGGGGAUGGACUCGCGGCUUAUCAGCUUGUUGGUGGGGUAGUGGCUUACCAAGGCUUUGACGGGUAGCCGGCCUGAGAGGGUGACCGGCCACAUUGGGACUGAGAUACGGCCCAGACUCCUACGGGAGGCAACAGUGGGGAAUAUUGCACAAUGGGCGGAAGCCUGAUGCAGCAACGCCGCGUGUGGGAUGACGGCCUUCGGGUUGUAAACCGCUUUCGCCUGUGACGAAGCGUGAGUGACGGUAAUGGGUAAAGAAGCACCGGCUAACUACGUG